UUAGUAACUGGGGAAAUUGUAUCAGAUUCAUGUCAAGAGGCUCCUCUAACGAUAUCAAUAUAAGAGCACAAUCUCGUCUUAAAGGAACACACUGCGGUCUGGGCCUGUCCAGGGCAGAAAGCAUUGUUCCCAUGUCUGUGGCAAGAGACAUAUGACCCAUCUUUUUCAGAGACUUUUUUUAAAAAAAUGAUGCCCAUGGCCAAGUUAUUGGUACGUAGGUCUAGGUACUCUGAGAGACAGAAAAGCUUUGGCAAAAAAGAUGGUAGAUUAGCAGCGACUUCCAAAGACUUAGCUAAAACAAGAAGUAAAUAAGUAAAUACUAGGACACGAAAGCCAUUCUGCCUUAAGUAAGUAUCCACCUCCCCUGGUGAAGGAGAGAGUGGAGAUUCAUCAAGUUCUUUUUUUUCAGGGCCGUACCCGCAGCAUAUGGAAAUUCCCAGGCUAGGGGUCUAAUCAGAGCUGUACCUGCUGGCCUAUGCCACACCCACACCAACACAGGAUGCAAGCCACGUCUGUGACCUACACCACAACUCAUAGCAACGCCGGAUCUUUAACCCACUGAGCAAGGUCAGGGAUCGAACCUGCAUCCUCAUGGAUGGUAGUCAGAUUUAUUAACCACUGAGCCACAACAGGAACUCCCGUCAAGUUCUUUUUUUAUUCAUUCAUUCAUUCACCCAUGCAUUCACUCAUCAACUACUAUGUUCUAGGCACUGUUUAAGGUGCUUGGAAACAUCAAUAAACAGCAAUAAAAAGACAAUGAUCCCUGAUUGGGGUGUUUUGCAUUUCCACAGAUAUUUAGGGGGAGAGGGUGUGCAAAAAAAUAAUAAGAGUAAUACAAAGCCCAUCAUACAGUGUGUUCACAAGUGACAAGUACAGUGCAAAACCAAAAGGAAAUCAUGGGAGAGGAGAUAGAUUGGGGGUGUCAUGAGGAGGAAUGGGUUGAAAUUUUAAAUAGGAUGGAUUCAGAGAAAAUGUAACUUUGAGCAAAAGAGUCCAUGGAGGAGUUCCCGUCGUGGCGCAGUGGUUAACGAAUCCAACUAGGAACCAUGAGGUUACGGGUUCGAUCCCUGGCCUUGCUCAGUGGGUGAAGGACCCAGCAUUGCUGUGAGCUGUGGUGAAGGUUGCAGAUGCAGCUCGGAUCACGCGUUGCUAUGGCUCUGGCGUAGGCUGGUGGCUACGGCUCCGAUUCGACCCCUAGCCUGGGAACCUCCAUAUGCCGCGGAAGCAGCCCUAGAAAAGGCAAAAAGACAAAAAAGAAAAAAAAAAAAAAAAAAGAGUCCAUGGAAUGACAUGUGGAUGACCAGUCUGAAUAGCAAAUGGAAGAGUUUUAUAGUGGGAGCGUGCUUGGCUUGAUUAAACAAAAAAUAAAGAACACAGUGGGGUUAGAGAGCUUAUGAUUCAGGAAGUCUGAAAGACCCAGGAAUCUAUGUUUUUAAUAAGUAGCCUAGGUGAUUCCCAUGUCAGGGGUUCCAGAACCAGAACCAGGUGUUUUGAGAAACACCACUCAGGGCCAAACACCUGCGUGUCGGCGGGUUUACCAGAAGUCUCCUUCUGGGAUAGGAACUCACACAUAAUGACAGGAGACAGCUGUAGGGAGACGCCAGACCCUAUACCAGGCUGGGCCGAUUCCCAUGUCUGAAUCACCCCUAACCAGGGGCCAGAGCAGCAAAGCAAUAUUGUGGUCAAGUCUGGGUGUUUUCAGACUAGAACUCAAGUUUGCUUCCUGCUACCCACAGCCUAGUCCAAAAAAAAAUUCUUUUCCAAAGCUGUUUCUUAGGUGCUCAGAGUAUUUUAAUGAUAUUUAUUAUUUUCUGAUUACAAAUAUAAUGCAUGCUUAUGGUAGAAAUUACCACCAUGCAUAAUAAAAAAAACAAACAAAUUGUUUUUGGUUCCCACUCCUCCAGGGUAACUACCAAUAAUUGUUUCUCUUCAUAUCACAUUCCCCGCCCCUUCCCAAUCUCUCUUAACCUUUGUUUCCUUUUCUGUUGUGUGGGGAUAAAAAUAACCUACCCUUCAGGGUCAUAUAAUGGAUGCUUAAUAAACCACAUUACGCCUACUGUUAUUCAACUUUGAUUGAGUUUAUUUUUUCCACUUGACAUUCUAUAAUGAGUAUUUUCCAAGUGUCAUUAACCACUCUUCAAAAACAUGAUUUUUAAUGGCUGCAUAUUAUGCCAUCAUUUAAUGAACUAUAAUUUACUUAACUAUCCUGUUAUUGAGCAUUGAAGUGUUUUCUAAUACUUUUUCUAUUAGAAAUAACACUGAGUGUUUAAAUCUUUUCCUACCUUGCUGCUUCCCUUAGGAUAGACUUUCAGAAAAGGUAUGGAAGGACAGAAAGUAUAAACAUUUUCAGGCUUUAAUAUAUGCUGCCAAAUUAUUUUCCCGGGGGGUGGGGUGGAGGAGAGAAGUAUGUAUCCCAUUAUCAUCACCAACAUUAAAGAUUACCUAUAAUUUAACGCCUAUAUCAGAAAUGAAUAUGUGUCAGCAUAAUAACUGUGAGAGUUGUGAAAAGAUACAAUCCACAACAGAUCUUUAAAAUUAUCGAGCCUUCUGGGUUUAUACAGUGCAUUCAAAUCUGUAAGGAAGAGACUUGAAAUCCUGAUCAUUUUCUAACCACUACUCACUUUCUAAGAGACCUCCAUUAGUGGAAAGACAUCAUUUCUCAUGGGCAAGUUUCUAAUAUUAGUCCAUAUCUUGAAAAAUCUUCCACUCUUUUGGUCCCUAUUGCUAAAUUCCAAUCAUCCUGAAGGGGAUUGAUAAUUGUGGCAAAUACACAAAAUGAUUGCUACCUGCAGAGGCAAUCACUUCCAACAUCAGCAGAACUGAUGAGCAAUUCAUUAUCAAGGAUUUAAUUGCUAUAAACCUGGGAGGAAAGGGGAUUUCUCGUAUGAUUUCCCGGAUUUCAUGUGUCCAACCCUGCUUGGCUCCAAAUUGGUUUUCAUAAAGGGGAAUUUGAAAUCAGGCAUGAGGAUAAUUACACAAUGGAAAGUGCAGUUGAAAUAUUUGCAUAACCUGUCUUGAACCUGAGAUGUUAACUUUAAAUGGGAUGUUGCAUCCAUGAGUGGGAUAGAAUCUUCUUUGGUGAUUAUAGCAAUACUGGCACAGGCCUAUAGUUGAAUGCAAAAUACAAUGCAGAAAUGCAAAAACACUGGUUAAAAAUACUGUGUAAUCUAUGAAGAGGCAGUAUGGUUUAAUGGCUAGAAUUGGAACUAUGGAUUUGGAUUAUCUGGACCCAAAGACUGCCUUUGUUCCCCAGUUCUUACGAGUGAACUUAAAUACAGUAGGCAUAUCUUCCACAAGUCUCAACAGAAAUGAUGAAGAUGGGAGGUCCCAUUGUGGCUCGGCGGUAAUGAACCAGACUAGGAUCCAGGAGGAUGCGGGUUCAAUUCUUGGCCUUGCUCAGUGAGUUAAAGUUCCCGCAUAGCCGUGAGCUGUAGAGUAGGUCAUAGAUGCAGCUCAGAUCCUGUGUUUCUGUGGCUGUGGCACAGACCAGUGGCUACAGCUCCCCACCCCCCCAGCCUGGAAACUUCCAUAUGGCACAAGUGCGACUUUAAAAAGACAAAAAAAAAUAAUAAUAAUAAUCAUACUAAAAAAAAGAGAACAGAGAGAGAAGAGAAAAAAAAGAAAUGAUGAAGAUCGUGCCUACCUUAUAUGGUUACUGUGAAGAUGAUCGGAGAAUAUCCUCAGGCUUGGGGCCCACCUAAAGUAAAUUAAUAUUAUUCCUAAGAUACCCUGAAGGUUUUCUUCACUAUCUACAUUUGACUUUGUCCAUUGACCUCAGGUAUUCUCUCCACCAAGAACUAUUUUUCAAAAUUGUUAGAUCUUCAAGUUUAAGAAAUUACCAUGAGGAAAAGGGAGUGCCACUUAUAGGUGUCAUUUUGCCUUAUUUUUGCAUGACACUAUUGUGAGUUAGGGUUCGAAUCCUAGAUCUUCAUUUGUUAGCCAUGUGAUUUAGGGCACAUGAGCUCUCUAAGCUUCAUUUUUCCUCACCCUGUAAAAUGAGGCUAGUAGUAAUCCUGACUUCACCUUACUAUGAUGGCUGCACAUAUUAAGUGCUCAAAUCAUGCUGAAUCUUAUUAUUAUUUACUAAUUAUUUACUUUACUAAUAGGAAAGAAGCUGAGACUCAUUCAGAUAAGUUAAUGUCCUAGGAUCACAAAAUUAAUUCGCCUAAUUCCAAAGACCAUAUCCACUGUAUUUGUGUGAUAAUAAUUCAUUCAUUCUCAUAAUCUCAUCAAUUAAACAAAAUUAUAACUUCUAAACAGCUUUCUUACCAAGCAGACAAGUACAAUGUAACAAGUGCAUUGUGUUGAAAAUAAUGUCUUUGUUUACUCAUUUUUGCUUUUAUUGUACAGCUGUUUUAGCCUAGGAAUGAUGGCUUUAACAUAAUAUAUCUUCGUUAAGUAGUAGUCAUCAUUUUUAUAUUUUAUCAUUUCAGCCCAAAGAAGCAAAAAUGAUGAAUGACAGUUUUGCUGUAUGGGUUCCUCAUCAAGAAAUGUUAAGUUUUCUGUUGAGGUUUUACAAUAUAAAAAAUUAGUUUAGAGGUUACCUUCUCUGCAAUCAAGGACCUUUGUCUACUUUAACCUGGGAACUAAAUAUUGUAGUAGAACUCAUUAACACAUGGGUUCAUAACACUAUGCUUGCAAUUUGUGCAGCAAACACUAGGGGGCAUUAAUCUCUGCCUGCACAGACAAUUAGAUUUUCUCCAGGCAUGGAUACCUAGAGAAAGCAAAAUUUAACACAUGGUUCACUUUUGAGGCACAUCACUACAUUAGUCAUGUUUCUUGGUUAAAGACAAAACUUUAGUUAAUGUUCAUAAAUUAAGACUACUAAUAAAUCAACUAAUGAUAGUCCAGAUUGUAGUUAUAGCCAAAUAAAGUCUCUUAUAAGCUGAAAUCCGACCCUUGUCAGAUUUCCCUUUUAGGGAAAUUGGCCUUUGAUAUGAGACCCUAUUGCUAACAUGUGGAAUCCUCACAUAGUUGUGAAAGGCAAAACAUUAUUUUGAACAAAGAAGCAGAAAUGCAUAGAAUAAAUGAAGGAGACCUCAAGUUUAAGAUCACAAAUUAUAAUAUAAGGAGAAUUAAAUGGAUACUACUUAUCUAUGGUCUGCCUGCAUUCAGCAUUUUUCAUAUAUAGAAUUUUUUGCUUGCAAUGAAGGUGAGGUAACAGGGAACAGACUUAUAUUCCUACUUAAAACACCUAAGAAACUUGAUGUAAUAAGGGAAACAUCUGUUUUCAGAUACUGGACAUCAGGCAG
This 5252-nucleotide long non-coding RNA is filed under the name Sus scrofa (pig). Its description in RNAcentral is "lncRNA (ENSSSCG00000062319.1)". Lineage: Eukaryota; Metazoa; Chordata; Mammalia; Artiodactyla; Suidae. The record is from RNAcentral.